This 253-nucleotide ribosomal RNA is filed under the name uncultured bacterium. RNAcentral's name for it is "partial 16S ribosomal RNA". It matches the Rfam family "Bacterial small subunit ribosomal RNA", at positions 524 to 776 of the family's 1533-position model. The record is from RNAcentral.
UACGAAGGGGGCUAGCGUUGUUCGGAAUCACUGGGCGUAAAGCGCACGUAGGCGGAUUCUUAAGUCAGGGGUGAAAUCCCGAGGCUCAACCUCGGAACUGCCUUUGAUACUGGGAAUCUUGAGUAUGGUAGAGGUUGGUGGAACAGCAAGUGUAGAGGUGAAAUUCGUAGAUAUUUGCUAGAACACCAGUGGCGAAGGCGGCCAACUGGACCAUAACUGACGCUGAGGUGCGAAAGCGUGGGUAGCAAACAGG